RNAcentral lists this long non-coding RNA (233 nucleotides) under Pandoravirus dulcis. RNAcentral's name for it is "putative ncRNA". The record is from RNAcentral.
GUGCCCUUUUUUUCUUUGCGUCAAUAAGGGCCGGCGACUUUUGCGCCGCAUUUACGCUGUUGCGCGCGCUCGCUUGUCUGCCUGCUCGUGGACGCUCGCGGGCGGCCCUUGGUCCUGAUGUCGGCGCGCGGCAGAUCCCGGAGAAACACAAAAACGAGAAAAAAAGACGCCCGAACAAAGGCCAUGCAAGAAUACAACUAGAGACGGACAAUCCCCGCCCGCAUCCCGCAUUC